This 48-nucleotide non-coding RNA is filed under the name Trichobilharzia regenti. Lineage: Eukaryota; Metazoa; Platyhelminthes; Trematoda; Strigeidida; Schistosomatidae. The record is from RNAcentral.
GUCCAGCUGACUAGUCCCAAAUAGGACGAAACGCCUUUUAACCUGGAU